Molecule: long non-coding RNA, 804 nt
Organism: Nicotiana attenuata
Lineage: Eukaryota; Viridiplantae; Streptophyta; Magnoliopsida; Solanales; Solanaceae
Exons: 2
Source: RefSeq, a predicted model, not a curated record
UCUGAGUUUAACCUCAAUUGACUGUCUUGCUUACAGCUUCCAGAAUUCUGCUCAAGGGAUAGCUCCUUAACUGUUAAGGAAAUAUUUGGAGUGGCAGAUGAGGAUGCUGAAAAGCUUCGUUUACAUACUAUCCCAGAAGCUGGGAACAUGGAUUCGCUUGAGAGGAUGGUGAAUGAGUCAGAUUCAGAAGUUUGCGGUGAUGAAUCUGCUAAUGUUUCCUGAUUCACAUCGCUUGAGUGUAGGGCAGUUGUUGGUGGGGAACAUUGUGGAAAGUAAUACAAAACUAUGAUGAGAUGACUCACUAUAACCUACACAUCCUUUGCAGGGCCCAAGUCAUCAUCCCUAACAGCGGAUAAAGAGAAGUCAUAACUCCAAAACUGCAGCUAUAUCUAAACCACCAUGCAUCUUGUGAAAUUUGGUCUAGAAUUGCUUCAAUUUUGUGGCCAGACCACUUUUGAUACAAAAUGCUUGGUGUUUGUUGAAUGUGUUUGGUUCGAGGUAAACCUGUAUUUCAAUAGUGUAAGUCGUGAAACAGCAGAAUUAUUACAAGUUCCUUGGUGCCAGGGAACAUAAUUUUUGAGCUUAAGUUGUCGGCUAUGCUAUGAUUGGUCGACAAUUGGGCGCAAACCAUUAGAAUGGUAACUUAAAUUUGAACUGAUAACUUAAGCGGAGAUUACAGAACACAAUACAAGUAACUGAUGCAUCAGUCAAGUUGACUAAUUUUUAGUAGUUGAAUGUGAUAGGACUCAUUUAGGCCUCAACACUUAAUGGAGGUGUGAAUCUUAAUCAUACAGAUCUCGGACA